This is a long non-coding RNA of Limulus polyphemus (Atlantic horseshoe crab), 5966 nucleotides long. RefSeq lists it as uncharacterized. Lineage: Eukaryota; Metazoa; Arthropoda; Merostomata; Xiphosura; Limulidae. The transcript has 3 exons. The record is from RefSeq and is a predicted model, not a curated record.
UAAAUUCAGGUUUUGAAAAAUGAUAAAAAAAAGCAGCAACACUUGUGUUAUUCAUUUGAUUCCAGUAGAAGUUUUAAGAAUAUGUUGAAUCAAAUUCAAAUAAAAACUAAUUGGAAAAUAAAAAUGAUUAGAGCAAAUCAUAAAAUUCUUUGUGCUAUUUGAGGGGAAAACAAAUGUUUUGUUGUUAAUUAAUCUGAUACAAAAUAAAAAAGUUUUAAUUUUGUUUUAAAUUUUGAAGCUAUUGAUUACAGUAGUUUCUUAGACAUUUUACCAGAAUACUUAUUAUCAUAUUUCAUAAAAAUACUUGUAACUGUUUGAACAAUAAUGUUUAAUAUAAAAAAAUAGGUUAAAUUUUGUUGGGCAAAAAAAUUUGUGGGCAUCAUACCUGUCACAGUUGUUUUUUAAUAAUAUCUGUAAUUUGGUUAAUAGAAAAUUGUUUUUGAUUUGUUGAACAAACGUAAACAGAUAUCCAUGGGGAAAUCAGAAGUUCCACAGCAACUCUAUUAUCUGUAAGAUUACAAUGCUUUAUAAAAAAAUUAAUAUAUUCUCAAUUGUUGGGUUUUCUAAAGCUACUUUGAAUUUCUUAUUUCAUCCAAUAUUAUUUUAUCAUACAUAAUUAAUAGUGCAACUGUGUUCUUGAAUAAUGUUAAAGAAAUAAUGAACUGAUUAGUGGAAAAUAUUAAUCACCAGAAAUGAUAUUGCUUAUUUCAGUUACACAUCUUUAAAGCAGUUGACAAGUGAAAGAAAUAAGUUAAAAUUUACUUCGUACUUGGGAAACAAGGUAAAAUGUUUGCAGUUGUGAGUAAUAAUGUGAAGAAAAAAAGAGAGUUGAUUCCGUAAAGACUGAAAAUUUUGAACUAUUAUCAUUGGAUAAAUACUUUGAACACUGCACAAUAUUACAUCUGAAUAUAUUGUAAAAGCAGCAGACUAUCCGUUUUUCUACUUCCCAUUUUACGUUUACUGUACACCAUCAUAAAUAUUUUAAGAACUAAGCUGUUGUUUAUAUCUAGCAAUUAAAUAGAGAUUAAGACAAAACAGUUGACAAUUUUGCAAUGCCCAUUAAUAACACGAAUUGAAAGAGGGAGAUAAUAUUAAAGGUUCAUCAUCUUCAUGAUUACGUUGAUAGUGUUAGUUAUAUAGGAGUGCCUAUAACUACAGCUUUUUUGAAUAACAUUACUUUUAUCACAAAAUAUUUAUUGUAUGAAAUAUGUAUGCAAGAGAUUAUAUUAGAAAAAAAAACUAUAAUUAUUUGAAAUGUUUGAACAGUCCAGAUAAAAACUACAUAACAGUUGCCCCUCAAAAGUGUACUCUGACUAUUUGUAAUAAAAUAUGGUUUUAAAAGUACAUGUAAGAUAUAUUGUUAAAAUGUAUAUUUUACAUGAUUGAGAAAAAUAGCUCACAAAAGAUGUGCUGUUGAUUUCUGUAGGUAAAAAUAGUCCCUUGAUGGGACAGCGGUAAGUUUAUGGACAUAAACGCUAAAAUUUGGGUUCGAUUCCCUGCAGCGGACAAAGAAGGUAGCCCAUUGUGGCUUUGCUUUAAAAGAAACAAACAAAAGUAGGUAAAAAAUAUGCUGAUAAUUCUUGUUCAAAAACAUAAUUCCAGUUAUGUUUUUACUCAUAACUCGUGAUUUUAAAUUUAACUAAAGAUUAGAUUGCGAUAUGUUUUGGUUAUUGAAUUUAUUCUAAUACGUAAUAGGACACGCCGUAUGAUUAGAAAAAGAGAGUACAAGUUAUUCAUGUCACAGAAUACUCUCAAAUUAUGAAAAUACUCAGAAUUCUAUAAUAUACAUAAAGGUUAGCAGUUGAUGAAUGUUUGUUUUUGACAGAAUAUAUGUUUUAGAAACUAGGAGACAAGAAUUAAAUAUUUUUAUUGCCCCCCUUUAUUCCCAGUAACUUCUUAAGAUAUUUGGUUUUUUCUUCUGUUACAGAUACAUAAACUCUUGCCCCCCAGUGGCACAGCGAUAUGUAUGCGGACUUACAACGCUAGAAACCGGGUUUUGAUACCCGUGGUGGGCAGAGCACAGAUAGCCCAUUGUGUAGCUUUGUGCAUAACGACAAACAAACAAGCAUAAACCCUUAUUAAGGCCUUCGUGAAAACAUGUUUGUCCCCCAAAACGAAUCGUAUUCAUUUUGUUUGAAAUUAAAAACUAGUUGCAAGACACUAAAAUUCCACCAUCUUGAAUUUUACUAACGUUUUGGGGAGUUCUAAAAUAUUCAUUUUGAUCUCUUAAGUUAAAAUAAUCCGUAGAGUUUUAAAAGUUUCUGGAAUGAUGUUACAGAACACAUCUCAAGACCUCCUCAGAAGUGAACGAAUGUGCAACAGCAGUAUAGUCACACCACUGUCCAACAUAGAAAUGAAAAAUAACUUUAAAUUUAUUUCGUUUCUUAUGAUUGUGUUAGGUGAGUGCUUGAAGCUCAUACUUUGGAUACUUUUAGACCCCCCAAAAAACGUCAUUAUUGAAAAUCUUUGUGCUGUGGUUGCAGUGCCUAUAGUAUUUCAAAUUGCUGUCUACUUUUGUAUACUAGCUUACAUCAAGUAUUAUAUAAUGAUACAAAGAGGGUUUAAGAUUUUUAUAUAUUUUUUUCUACAUAUCAUAAACGUUUCAUAAGCUAGUAUAUACUUUACGUCUUAGAAAAAUUUAAUGCCCCAUUCAGGAGUCAGUGGUAAGCUAGAGAGCUUUGAGGUUUGAUUCAUACCCAACCCAGAUGGCUUUGCGCUUUAAAGAGAAAUACUUAAACUGGAAUAUUGCAUUCAAACAGUAUAAAGUUUCAAACCGAAAGUAAGGUGAUGUUAACAUUAGAGACCUAAAAAGAGUUAAGUCAUAUGAGUGAAAAAUACAGUAAAAAAAUACAAGGUAUAGCAGAAAGUGUCGCACAAAGAAUAUUAUUUUUUAGAAGAAAAGUGAACUGCAUAGUAAUAAUUUGACUUGCCACUUUUUUUUUAUAUAUAGUAUUCAUAUAAUAAUAUGAAAAAGAUGUUUUGAUAAUAUAUUUUCAUCCAAAAAUUGUCCGUGAAAUUCUCAGCAAACCAAGUGAUUUAUUUAUUUCUGAGUCAUAACAUUUAAGCAUACUGCAGGGACCAGAUGAAUGGAAGAAUGGUGGGAGUAUAACAGAAAAAUAAAAAAGGUUCGGUAAUUCCACAGAUUUUUGCUAAUCUAUAUAUGUCAUAUACAUAUAAGAAAUAAUCAUUAAAUUAAUUUCUAAGGUUUGCUGAAUUGAUGAGCUCAAGAAGGAGGUAAGUGAAAUCGUUUAAUAUGUCAGUUUAAAUUACAAUAAUUUCGUUUUAUAUUGUAUGAGAAAACUGGUUGUAAACGGAAGAACUUUUAGAAAAAACUAAACACAUAAAGGACAGCAUUGGCGUAUUAAAUCCGUUAGUAAAUAUAAUACUGAAUGAUUAUAAAGUUUUACAGUUGAACUAAUAUCCAAAACCAACCAUACUGAACUUGCUCUUCUUGAGAACUGAGAAGAUUACACAAAGUUUACUGUUACCAAAGAAAUAAAUAAAUAACUCGAUAGUAAUGAGUUAAAGCAGCUUGUUAGACAUUUUACAUUGCAAGGUUUCACUACACCGCGGAUAAUACGUUAGGACUGAAAAAUUGGCGGGAACGACAAUUGUGGAAAGUCUUCCCCCUCCCAUCCUCUUCCCCAGAAAAAUAAGGUGAAGAGAUUUUGAAGGUAAAAUACCAGUUGUACGCCUUUAGUGUGUGUGCUUUAAAGUUAAGCAACGUAUUAUUGCAGUGUUAACUUCAGGAGAACGUAUGACCCCCACCCUUAUUAAAUCACAAAUACUAUACUAGAAAUUGGUAAUCAUUCUUAAAAAAUGGCGAAAAGGAGAGAAAAUAUUUUAUAGGUAAAGUGAACAGACUCAUUUUAUUAGGUUCUCCAGAAGCUUGUGUUUAUAAAGAUGGUUUUGGAUAAUAUUGUCGAUUUAAAAUUACUGUCGUAGUUUCACUUAGUGCGUGUGCAAAGGUUACUGAUUGUAGUCGAGAAAGUAAUAGUCUUGCACAAUGUAAAUCUGUAAUUGUCUGUUGUAGAAACUACUUAAUUAAUUAACUAGCUGUGUUAUUUUCAACAUCGUUAUCUUACUAAAAGUCAGAAAUUGGAAGUUCCCAUAGAUGAUGCAUUAAACUUUGUGUAAUAUUGGAUAUGAAUGGCUCAUUAAUUACUUUAAAAUAUGUUAUUUGUGAUUAAUAAGCUCUAAACAUUUCAGACGUAGAAUACUUAAAAAUUUGAAGUUAAAAUAAAAUUAUAUAUGUCUGAAUAAUUGAGCAAUAAACGCAAAUAAUGUUUAAUGAAUGGUUCUUUUACAAAUAAUUUCAACUAAUAAAUAAAAUUUUGAUCUUCUGUCUAAUAUUAAUAUAUAAAGUGCCCGAGUUUGGUUAGUUAAACCAAUUAUUUCGAAUGCUUUUAAGACGAAAAAUAAAACGGAGUAUUGAAAUAGAAGUGGUAAUAAUUUACAUCUUCAUGACAAUAUAUUAAAAAUAUUUAUCGAUUCGUUCGUUCAAUUGACUCAAAAUCUAAGAUUUUUUCAGCUACUUAAUUACAGUACAACCAUUUGCGUGACAGCCUGUAACUUUGUUUUUAGUCACCUGUAAUAAUAUUUCACACUGAAGUGUAAAACCCGGAUAUUCCUUCCUGUUGGAAAUCACGAGGCAAGGACACGAUUUCUAACUGAGUUCUUGUGAAUUUUUAUCAAUACUUCAUUUUUUAAAUCUCUUGUAAAGGUAUUUAGAAAUACAGUUCAGAACUUUUGUUAUGGGAGUUAGGCAAUUGCCACAAACGCGCUAUAGUUGGAACGAAACAACAACGAACCAAAAUUUUACUUUUUGUAAUACAUUGGUUUUGGUCUUUGAAUACAUAUUUCACAGGCAAAACGUGUUAUGCUCGUUUUGUUACAGAAUCCGAAAAACUUUAUUUCUGUUUUUAGACGUUUUGAAAGAACCUUGGGGGGGGGGGCGAUUUGGGUAUUUAAGUCUUGCACAAAUUCUAUUGUGUCAAUUAUGUAAUUUUCAGUGUUACAACUUUAAUAAUCGACUUUCUUACGUUCACAGAUCUGAUGUCUCUUCGAGAUGUAUAACGUGUAUGAUAAACGUUAGCACAUUUGAUUUGAAGACCAACAUAUCAAAGGAUCCAUUUUCCAUUUAAGAGCUUUCACCGAACAGGUGGUUAAAUUCAAAGGAGAGCCAGUUCAUCAUUGCUUUACAUCACGAUGGAUAAUUUAUUUUUACACUUCUCCAAGAAGAGUUCCAGUGUUGGCUUUUGUAUUCAAGAUGCUUCAGUAAUCUUACAAAUACUGGCCACAAUCGAAGAACAACAAAUUGAUGAUGGUGAUGAAGGAGGAUCCGUCACAGUGGGAAGAAGAAAAUGGUGGAUACAUUCUCGUUUCAGAAUUUGAGCACAAAAACAAAACCGAAACUUUUGCUGGUUUUAAUGGAGCUACUCAGAAAAUCAAGGAAGCCUUAAAUUUGCUGCAAUAAUUUCAAUGUUCAGUCAAACCUCACCAACCCUUUUGGUGACCUUUGAAGCAGUAGCUACACAAAUUUAAGUAAUGGGGACCCCAUAAAUGGAAAAUUUGUUGUAUUUAAUGGAGUUAAGGAAGCUGAAAGUCUGAUUCAAGAAAUCCAUUGUUCACCAUACCUCUGAUCAUUCCAGUUACAUUUCAAAAAGUAUCUCCACAAACUUUAAAGCUCAGGGACCCCAUUAAUGGUUUGUAAACCUUUAACACUCGAUAUCAGCCUGACAGUUUCUCUCCUUCAGUGUGAUAUAAUUUGUCUGAUUCUCAAGUGAAUCCGUUUUUUAAUAUUGAAACCAUUCUGAGACACUUGAGUAAACAAUUAAUGACCUUGUUUGUUGAACUAACUAUACUUUUCCACAUCAAAAUAUGGGUAUGCUUAAUGACAUAAAAAGAAUGUUUAUUGAACAUAUCAUUAAAAUUAUGAAAAAUAAAACUUCCUACCUAUAUUUCAA